UGGAGAGUUUGAUCCUGGCUCAGGACGAACGCUGGCGGCGUGCUUAACACAUGCAAGUCGAACGAGAUCCAUGCAGUAGCAAUACUGCGGAAGAUCUAGUGGCGAACGGGUGCGUAACACGUGAGGAACUUGUCCCGGUCUCUGGGAUAACAGUUGGAAACGACUGCUAAUACCGGAUGACGUCGGAGCAUCGCAUGGUGCGCUGACGAAAGGGUUACUGGAUCGGGAGAGCCUCGCGGCCUAUCAGCUUGUUGGUGGGGUAACGGCCCACCAAGGCAUCGACGGGUAGCUGGUCUGAGAGGAUGAUCAGCCACACUGGGACUGAGACACGGCCCAGACUCCUACGGGAGGCAGCAGUGGGGAAUCUUGCGCAAUGGGCGAAAGCC
This 386-nucleotide ribosomal RNA is filed under the name Actinomycetota bacterium. Its description in RNAcentral is "bacterial SSU rRNA". It matches the Rfam family "Bacterial small subunit ribosomal RNA", at positions 1 to 383 of the family's 1533-position model. Lineage: Bacteria; Bacillati; Actinomycetota. The record is from RNAcentral.